This 470-nucleotide ribosomal RNA is filed under the name uncultured bacterium. Its description in RNAcentral is "partial 16S rRNA". The record is from RNAcentral.
GCACGUAGUUAGCCGAGACUUAUUCCUGAGAUACUGUCCUUUCUCAUCUCUCAGAAAAGUGCUUUACGACCCGAAGGCCUUCAUCGCACACGCGGCGUUGCUGCAUCAGGCUUUCGCCCAUUGUGCAAUAUUCCCUACUGCUGCCACCCGUAGGUGUAUGGACCGUGUUUCAGUUCCAUUGUGGGGGGUCACCCUCUCAGGUCCCCUACCCGUCGUCGCCUUGGUGAGCCGUUACCUCACCAACUAGCUGAUGGGACGCAGGUCCCUCCCAAAGCGAAUUGCUCCUUUAGUCAUCAGUUUCUAAACCUGAAGACCACAUGCGGUAUUAGCAAUCCUUUCGGACUGUUAUCCCACACUUUGGGGUAGGUCACCAACGCGUUACUCACCCGUUCGCCACUAGGAUACUCUCGUAUUGCUACAAAAGCACCUCGUUCGACUUGCAUGUAUUAGGCACGCCGCCAGCGUUCAUC